CUGAGCUACCGAGCUGGAUAAAUAUUGAACACAACCUCUGGGAUCUUGUGAUCUGGCUUUCAAAGUGCUGGUGUUUGAACUCCGUGACCUUGCACAUGCUAACUACAUGUCUCACCAGUGAACUGCACUCCAACCCUCUGUGCUUCACUUCCCCACCUGUCAAGCAGGUCAACUUGAAAAAUUUCUAGGCCUGCUAUUUUAAAAAAGAAUCAAGGAAAGAAUAGAAUGGAUCAUAUGCUACUGAGUAAGUGGGAUACAGAUUCACAACUGUGGCAAUAACAAAUGUGGAAAAGCAAUAUUAAAGAUAUACAUGGGAGAUUAAGCAUCUAACCAACUUGAGGACCUGGUUGAAGAAUGAGAAAAAAUAAGCUGAAAUAAUUCAAGGAAGCCUUUACUUCAUUCAAGGAUGAAUUAUUUGAAUGCCAGAUUGGAGCUGAAUCUGGUUGGUUGAAACCAAGGAUGCAGCACCUGUGGACACAGAGGGUCAAUAAUGCUUCCAUUUAUAAAGGAGAAUAUCAGAUCCGUGGAUUUAACUACUACUUUAAGGGUUUUGCUAUGUCCCUAAGUUGACUCGGCUGGACUUGAACUUGGC
This 592-nucleotide long non-coding RNA is filed under the name Heterocephalus glaber (naked mole-rat). RNAcentral's name for it is "lncRNA (ENSHGLG00000050962.1)". The record is from RNAcentral. Lineage: Eukaryota; Metazoa; Chordata; Mammalia; Rodentia; Bathyergidae.